UGGGGAAUAUUGCACAAUGGGCGCAAGCCUGAUGCAGCCAUGCCGCGUGUGUGAAGAAGGCCUUCGGGUUGUAAAGCACUUUCAGCGGGGAGGAAGGCGUUAAGGUUAAUAACCUUGGCGAUUGACGUUACCCGCAGAAGAAGCACCGGCUAACUCCGUGCCAGCAGCCGCGGUAAUACGGAGGGUGCAAGCGUUAAUCGGAAUUACUGGGCGUAAAGCGCACGCAGGCGGUCUGUCAAGUCGGAUGUGAAAUCCCCGGGCUCAACCUGUGAACUGCAUUCGAAACUGGCAGGCUAGAGUCUUGUAGAGGGGGGUAGGAUUCCAGGUGUAGCGGUGAAAUGCGUAGAGAUCUUGGGGAAUACCGGUGGCGGAGGCGGCCCCCUGGACAAAGACUGACGCUCAGGUGCGAAAGCGUGGGGAGCAAACAGG
This 429-nucleotide ribosomal RNA is filed under the name Chloroflexota bacterium. RNAcentral's name for it is "Chloroflexi bacterium partial 16S ribosomal RNA". It matches the Rfam family "Bacterial small subunit ribosomal RNA", at positions 355 to 776 of the family's 1533-position model. Lineage: Bacteria; Bacillati; Chloroflexota. The record is from RNAcentral.